UGGGGAAUAUUGCACAAUGGGGGAAACCCUGAUGCAGCAAUGCCGCGUGUGUGAAGAAGGCCUGCGGGUUGUAAAGCACUUUCAGUAGGGAAGAAAAGCUCCGGGUUAAUACCCCAGAGUCUUGACAUUAGCUACAGAAGAAGCACCGGCUAACUCCGUGCCAGCAGCCGCGGUAAUACGGAGGGUGCGAGCGUUAAUCGGAAUUACUGGGCGUAAAGCGCGCGUAGGCGGCAAGGUCAGUCGGAUGUGAAAGCCCCGGGCUUAACCUGGGAACUGCAUUCGAUACUGCCUUGCUAGAGUAUGGUAGAGGGAAGUGGAAUUCCGGGUGUAGCGGUGAAAUGCGUAGAUAUCCGGAGGAACAUCAGUGGCGAAGGCGACUUCCUGGACCAAUACUGACGCUGAGGUGCGAAAGCGUGGGGAGCAAACAGGAUUAGAUACCCCUGUAGUCC
This 449-nucleotide ribosomal RNA is filed under the name uncultured prokaryote. Its description in RNAcentral is "bacterial SSU rRNA". It matches the Rfam family "Bacterial small subunit ribosomal RNA", at positions 355 to 796 of the family's 1533-position model. The record is from RNAcentral.